UACCACGUGAUCCAAGCGGCUGUGAACGUCUGAACCGGAAGUUAUCUCUGAAGGCUGCCGCCAUAUUUGUUGUGGGCAUAUGACCCUAACGAAGUUCAUCUGUAACCGGCAUGUUCCUGACUGACCGCUUGUUCCCCCACCGCUCCUCUCCCACUUGGCUGGUUGCCGUACGGUGGAGAUGGCUGCUAUCAAAAUCACCACACUCAACGUCCAGGGGUUCAACGUACCGGAGAAGAGAUCCCAGGUCCUCUACCACAUGCACAAGCUAAAGGUGACCAUCCUCUGUUUACAAGAGACUCAUUUUAAAGGAAGAAGACCUAGAUUACAACAGAUCAAGAAGCGAUGAUGAAAAAUGUUUUUUUUUUUUAUUUCAAUGAAGUUUUCUUUUCAACCUGGUGUGUGGGUGUUUUUUUUUGUAAUUUUUUUUGGGCUUAAAGGGGUACUCCGGUGCUUAGACAUCUUAUCCCCUAUCCAAAGGAUAGGGGACAAGAUGCCUGACCGCGGGAGUACCGCCACUGGGGACCCCCGUGAACUUGCACGCGGCACCCCGUUUGUAAUCAGUCCCUGGAGCGUGUUCGCUCCGGGUCUGAUUACGGAUGAUCACAGGGCGGGCGGCGUGUGACGUCACGCCUGCGCCCCCGUGUGACGUCACGCUCCGCCCCUUAAUGCAAGCCUAUGGGAGGUUGUGUGGCAGCUAUAAAGGGAGUACCCCUUUAAUAAUGGAAGCUGUAUGAUAGACAAUGUCCGUUACUAAGCCAGGAUAUAGCAUUAGCCUGUGAAACAACUAGCACUAACCUCCCUAUUAUUACCUCAAUACUCACCGCACCAGGGGUACAGGGAAUAGACAGGUACCAUCAGGCCCAGAGCAUAAAAAAUUAUGAUCUGGGACUAGGUAAUAACAGUUAUUAUUAGGUAUUAUUAGGCUGGCAAUGGCCCACAUAAAUGGCUCUUGCCACCCUGGUAAUGCCAGAUGGCUACUGCCCUGUUUUGUACCUGGCUGAUAAUGGUAAAUGGGCACUUUUUUUUUUUCCUUUAACCCCUUCAUGACCCAGCUAGUUUUGGCCUUCAUGACCCAGUCCGUUUUUUCAAAUCUGACAUGGGUCUCUUUAAGUGGUAAUAACUUUGAACUGCUUUUACCUGGCAAAGUGAUUCAGAGAUAGUAUUUUCAAGACAUAUUGUACUUUAUAUAGCAGUACAUUUUUGCUGAUACAUGAAGCGAUUUUGUGUGAAAUAUUCUAAAAUAAUGUGAAAAUUGGAAAAAUUUUCUUUUCUCUGUUUGAAACUCUCUACUUA
Hyla sarda is the source of this 1293-nucleotide long non-coding RNA. RefSeq lists it as uncharacterized. The transcript has 3 exons. The record is from RefSeq and is a predicted model, not a curated record. NCBI's taxonomy places the organism in Eukaryota, Metazoa, Chordata, Amphibia, Anura, Hylidae.